UACGAAGGGGGCUAGCGUUGUUCGGAAUUACUGGGCGUAAAGCGCACGUAGGCGGACUUGUUAGUCAGGGGUGAAAUCCCGGGGCUCAACCUCGGAAUUGCCUUUGAUACUGCAAGUCUCGAGUCCGGAAGAGGUGAGUGGAAUUCCUAGUGUAGAGGUGAAAUUCGUAGAUAUUAGGAAGAACACCAGUGGCGAAGGCGGCUCACUGGUCCGGUACUGACGCUGAGGUGCGAAAGCGUGGUGAGCAAACAGG
This 253-nucleotide ribosomal RNA is filed under the name uncultured bacterium. RNAcentral's name for it is "partial 16S ribosomal RNA". It matches the Rfam family "Bacterial small subunit ribosomal RNA", at positions 524 to 776 of the family's 1533-position model. The record is from RNAcentral.